AGACCCGAAACCCGGUGAUCUAGCCAUGGGCAGGUUGAAGGUUGGGUAACACUAACUGGAGGACCGAACCGACUAAUGUUGAAAAAUUAGCGGAUGACCUGUGGCUGGGGGUGAAAGGCCAAUCAAACCGGGAGAUAGCUGGUUCUCCCCGAAAGCUAUUUAGGUAGCGCCUCGUGAAUUCAUCUCCGGGGGUAGAGCACUGUUUCGGCUAGGGGGCCAUCCCGGCUUACCAACCCGAUGCAAACUGCGAAUACCGGAGAAUGUUAUCACGGGAGACACACGGCGGGUGCUAACGUCCGUCGUGAAGAGGGAAACAACCCAGACCGCCAGCUAAGGUCCCAAAGUCAUGGUUAAGUGGGAAACGAUGUGGGAAGGCCCAGACAGCCAGGAUGUUGGCUUAGAAGCAGCCAUCAUUUAAAGAAAGCGUAAUAGCUCACUGGUCGAGUCGGCCUGCGCGGAAGAUGUAACGGGGCUAAACCAUGCACCGAAGCUGCGGCAGCGACGUUUAUGCGUUGUUGGGUAGGGGAGCGUUCUGUAAGCCUGCGAAGGUGGCCUGUGAGGGUUGCUGGAGGUAUCAGAAGUGCGAAUGCUGACAUAAGUAACGAUAAAGCGGGUGAAAAGCCCGCUCGCCGGAAGACCAAGGGUUCCUGUCCAACGUUAAUCGGGGCAGGGUGAGUCGACCCCUAAGGCGAGGCCGAAAGGCGUAGUCGAUGGGAAACGGGUUAAUAUUCCCGUACUUGGUGUUACUGCGAAGGGGGGACGGAGAAGGCUAUGUUGGCCGGGCGACGGUUGUCCCGGUUUAAGCGUGUAGGCUGGUUUUCCAGGCAAAUCCGGAAAAUCAAGGCUGAGGCGUGACGACGAGGCACUACGGUGCUGAAGCAACAAAUGCCCUGCUUCCAGGAAAAGCCUCUAAGCAUCAGGUAACAUCAAAUCGUACCCCAAACCGACACAGGUGGUCAGGUAGAGAAUACCAAGGCGCUUGAGAGAACUCGGGUGAAGGAACUAGGCAAAAUGGUGCCGUAACUUCGGGAGAAGGCACGCUGACACGUAGGUGAAGUGAUUUACUCAUGGAGCUGAAGUCAGUCGAAGAUACCAGCUGGCUGCAACUGUUUAUUAAAAACACAGCACUGUGCAAACACGAAAGUGGACGUAUACGGUGUGACGCCUGCCCGGUGCCGGAAGGUUAAUUGAUGGGGUCAGCGCAAGCGAAGCUCCUGAUCGAAGCCCCGGUAAACGGCGGCCGUAACUAUAACGGUCCUAAGGUAGCGAAAUUCCUUGUCGGGUAAGUUCCGACCUGCACGAAUGGCGUAAUGAUGGCCAGGCUGUCUCCACCCGAGACUCAGUGAAAUUGAACUCGCUGUGAAGAUGCAGUGUACCCGCGGCAAGACGGAAAGACCCCGUGAACCUUUACUAUAGCUUGACACUGAACAUUGAGCCUUGAUGUGUAGGAUAGGUGGGAGGCUUUGAAGUGUGG
This 1474-nucleotide ribosomal RNA is filed under the name Salmonella enterica subsp. enterica serovar Bareilly. Its description in RNAcentral is "partial 23S ribosomal RNA". It matches the Rfam family "Bacterial large subunit ribosomal RNA", at positions 711 to 2167 of the family's 2925-position model. Lineage: Bacteria; Pseudomonadati; Pseudomonadota; Gammaproteobacteria; Enterobacterales; Enterobacteriaceae. The record is from RNAcentral.